UUGACUGCUUGCGCAGGUACUCAGAGUAGCCCAGAUACGACAUGGUUUGGGGUCCUGCGGCGGGCGCCCCCCGGAGGGGGCAGAGGCUCCGCCCUGGAGCCGCCCGCCGAGGCAACGUAGUGGUAUGUUCGCGAUGGUUUGGAGCCUUGUGACUCGGCAAUGAUCCCUCCGCUGGUUCACCAACGGAGA
RNAcentral lists this unclassified non-coding RNA (189 nucleotides) under uncultured fungus. RNAcentral's name for it is "sequence contains ITS1". Lineage: Eukaryota; Fungi. The record is from RNAcentral.